UUAAUUAUAGUUUAUUAAAACAUUAAAUUGCAAAUUUAAAAAUAUUUAUUAUAUGAAUUGAUUAAU
This 66-nucleotide transfer RNA is filed under the name Frieseomelitta varia. Its description in RNAcentral is "tRNA-Cys". Lineage: Eukaryota; Metazoa; Arthropoda; Insecta; Hymenoptera; Apidae. The record is from RNAcentral.